This 406-nucleotide ribosomal RNA is filed under the name uncultured bacterium. RNAcentral describes it as "partial 16S ribosomal RNA". It matches the Rfam family "Bacterial small subunit ribosomal RNA", at positions 29 to 526 of the family's 1533-position model. The record is from RNAcentral.
AUUGAACGCUGGCGGCAGGCCUAACACAUGCAAGUCGAGCGAGAGGCGGACGGGUGAGUAAUGUCUGGGAAACUGCCUGAUGGAGGGGGAUAAGUACUGGAAACGGUAGCUAAUACCGCAUACGAUCAGAUGUGCCCCGAUGGGAUUAGCUAGUCGGUGGGGUAACGGCUCACCUAGGCGAGGGUCCACCGCUGGUCUGAGAGGUAGACCAGCCACACUGGAACUGAGACCCGGUCCAGACUCCUACGGGAGGAAGCAGUGGGGAAUAUUGCACAAUGGGCGCAAGCCGGAUGCAGCCAUGCCGCGUGUGUGAAGAAGGCCUUCGGGUUGUAAAGCACUUUCAGCGGGGAGGCGUUACCCGCAGAAGAAGCACCGGCUAACUCCGUGCCAGCAGCCGCGGUAAUUC